Sapajus apella (tufted capuchin) is the source of this 391-nucleotide long non-coding RNA. RefSeq lists it as uncharacterized. NCBI's taxonomy places the organism in Eukaryota, Metazoa, Chordata, Mammalia, Primates, Cebidae. The record is from RefSeq and is a predicted model, not a curated record. The transcript has 2 exons.
GGUUUCACCAUGUUGGCUAGGCUGGUCUGGAACUGCUGACUUCAGGUGUGAGCCACUGUGCCCGGCCUGGGCUGCACUUCUGAGUCCCGGAAGCUCUUUCAGGAUUCCAUUUCUUACUUGGUUGUAUGAUUACCAAAAAUAUGUUUUAGGAACACCUUUUUUUUUUUCUUCCAGCUCCAGUUCAAAGGAACACUGUUCUUGAAGAAAAAAAAAAAAAUAGCAAAUACGCAUAGAUUAACAUUUUAGGGAGUUUCCAAUCUGUUAAAAGCUUAAGGAUCAACUACAGGUUUCUUACAUAGAAUACACUUGGCUUUUUAUAUGGGAAUAUUUCCUUUAAUCAUUUCUGAGAAUCAGAAGUUUGCCAGUAUUUCAGCUUUUUUACUAUUUUGCU